AAUUGAAUCCAAGCCACAGCUGUGACCUACACUGCAGCUGCAGCAAUGCCAGAUCCUUGUAGCCCACUGCACCACAGUGAGGAACUCCUCAUGGAACUUUUUAUUUUGAGAAGAUUAUAAGAUUCACAUCCAGUUAUAAGAACUGAUAGAGGGAGUUCCCGUCGUGGCGCAUAAUGAACCCAACUAGUAUCCAUGAGGAUGUAGGUUCAGUCACCUGGCCUCGCUUAGUGGGUUAAGGAUCUGGUAUUGCCACAAGAUCCCAUGUUGCUGUGGCUGAGGUGUAGGCUGGCAGCUUCAGCUCUGAUUUGACCCCUAGUCUGGGAAUUUCCAUAUGCUGUGGGUGUGGUCCUAAAAAGACAAAAACAAAAAACAAAAAAACAAUAGGGAGGAGAUCCCUUUCUCCCAAUGGUAGUAUCUUAUAAAACGAUAAAUGAUACAAUAUCACACCCAAGAAACUGACACUGAUCCUUGUACACAUUUGUUUGUUUGCAUUUUUGGCCCUGGUGUGCACUGGCUUGAUGUGGGAUCUUAGUUCCUAGACCUGGGAUUUAACUUGGGUCACAGUGCUAAAAGCACUGAGUCUUAAGCACUAGACCACCAGAGAACUCUCAGGUUUUUUUUUAAGUCAGAGGAGUAUUUCAUACUUAAUAGUAAAAGCAGGUUUUCUUUUUUUUUUUUUAACUUUUUAGGGCCGCACUCGCAGCAUAUGGAGGUUCCCAGGUGAGGGGUCGAAUUGGAGUUGUAGCUGCCAACCUACACCACAGCCACAGCAAUGCCAGAUCCCAGCCACAUCUGCGACCUACACCACAGCUCUCGGCAACGCCAGAUCCUUCACCCACUGAGUGAGCCCAGGGAUCGAACCCUCGUCCUCUUGGAUACUAGUCGGGUUCAUUACCACUGAGCCACGACGGGAACUCCCAGCCAGUAAAAGUGAUCUUCAGAAGAUACAGAAAAAUAUUAAAAAUAGAGAUCCAAAUAAAUAAAAUACAUAGAUGAAUAAAAGUCCCUUUCCUCCAACCCCUGGCCUCAUUCCCUAGAGGAAACCACUGCUAAAAACAAACCAACCAGGACUGGCGCUUCUGUUUUCAUGUUUCUCGACGGCAUGGGUAUAUAUAGCCUGCAGUGGCUCGAUCGGAGCAGCACUGCAAACAUCAGAUAAAAUCUCUUGUGUUGUUUAGGCCCCAGGAAACAGGAAAUAAGCACUCUUGGAGCAUUUCAUUAUAAGAAUGAAUUAAUGCAUUUUUAUUUCAGUGGCACCCUCUGUGGGGGGACCUUGUCUCUGGCCGUAGAGGAAGCUAUCAUGUUUCCUGAGGGGAAGUUGCAUCUAAUUUCAAACCGUAGGACUGGCUUUGCAUUAGUGAAUUAAAGCAAGGUGGUGAGCUCUCAGGGUGUACAAGGAUCAGCUUGAGGCCCAAGGAGCUCUGUUCCCAAGGUACUAAAUCUUGGCCUCUCCCCUGAAAAUUUAUGUGAAUGGUCAUCAGUGAAGACACAUUUAAUGAGCAUGUGCCUGUCU
Molecule: long non-coding RNA, 1513 nt
Filed under: Sus scrofa (pig)
Lineage: Eukaryota; Metazoa; Chordata; Mammalia; Artiodactyla; Suidae
Description: lncRNA (ENSSSCG00015068009.1)
Source: RNAcentral